UCGAGAAUUUUUCUCAAUGGGCGAAAGCCUGAAGGAGCGACGCCGCGUGGGGGAUGAAGGGUUUCGAUCCGUAAACCCCUGUCAUUUGCGAACAAUGGGCAUUCAUGAACAGUGGAUGUCUUGAUAGUAGCGGAAGAGGAAGGGACGGCUAACUCUGUGCCAGCAGCCGCGGUAAUACAGAGGUCCCGAGCGUUGUUCGGAUUCACUGGGCGUAAAGGGUGCGUAGGUGGUGGCGCAAGUUUGAUGUGAAAUCUCCGGGCUUAACCCGGAAACUGCAUUGAAUACUGCGUUGCUGGAGGUUUGGAGGGGGGACUGGAAUUCUCGGUGUAGCAGUGAAAUGCGUAGAUAUCGAGAGGAACACCAGUGGCGAAGGCGAGUCCCUGGACAACACCUGACACUGAGGCACGAAAGCUAGGGGAGCAAACAGGAUUAGAUACCCCCGUAGUCC
This 448-nucleotide ribosomal RNA is filed under the name uncultured bacterium. RNAcentral's name for it is "bacterial SSU rRNA". It matches the Rfam family "Bacterial small subunit ribosomal RNA", at positions 355 to 796 of the family's 1533-position model. The record is from RNAcentral.